UCUGCUGCAAUUGCGCAACGAUGUUUGUGCCUCAGGUUGUUUCAAUGCGUGCGUCAUUUUUGUCCAAACAUUAAAAUAAUAAUAUUAUUGUUAUUUUAUUCCAUACGCGCGAUGAGUUCCUUGUGUACACAUCAGCACAUCUGUCCAAUAAGGCGGGCAUUACCUUUUUUUUUCAUAGGCUUAAAAAUAAAAAAUUAACAGAGGUCUCUGCAGCAGUCACGGGCGUUUACAAAUGUUUAUCGCGGCCAUCAAUAUAACACUCAUCGAAAAGAUUGGCCAUUAUUAUACACAAUACGAACGAGAUUGGUAGACAUCGAAAUAGUUUCGCGACACCUGCAGUUCACUGGAGAAAGCAGAUCCUCCAAAAUUAUUAAAUUAUUUCAUUACCGUUAAGCUUAACAAAA
This is a long non-coding RNA of Melanaphis sacchari, 404 nucleotides long. RefSeq lists it as uncharacterized. The record is from RefSeq and is a predicted model, not a curated record. NCBI's taxonomy places the organism in Eukaryota, Metazoa, Arthropoda, Insecta, Hemiptera, Aphididae. The transcript is spliced from 3 exons.